CGGCGUCGAGCGGCGGACGGGUGAGUAAUGCCUAGGAAAUUGCCCUGAUGUGGGGGAUAACCAUUGGAAACGAUGGCUAAUACCGCAUGAUGCCUACGGGCCAAAGAGGGGGACCUUCGGGCCUCUCGCGUCAGGAUAUGCCUAGGUGGGAUUAGCUAGUUGGUGAGGUAAGGGCUCACCAAGGCGACGAUCCCUAGCUGGUCUGAGAGGAUGAUCAGCCACACUGGAACUGAGACACGGUCCAGACUCCUACGGGAGGCAGCAGUGGGGAAUAUUGCACAAUGGGCGCAAGCCUGAUGCAGCCAUGCCGCGUGU
RNAcentral lists this ribosomal RNA (315 nucleotides) under Vibrio diabolicus. RNAcentral describes it as "bacterial SSU rRNA". It matches the Rfam family "Bacterial small subunit ribosomal RNA", at positions 86 to 404 of the family's 1533-position model. Lineage: Bacteria; Pseudomonadati; Pseudomonadota; Gammaproteobacteria; Vibrionales; Vibrionaceae. The record is from RNAcentral. RNAcentral also lists the same sequence under 1 other name.